This 388-nucleotide ribosomal RNA is filed under the name uncultured bacterium. RNAcentral describes it as "bacterial SSU rRNA". It matches the Rfam family "Bacterial small subunit ribosomal RNA", at positions 28 to 417 of the family's 1533-position model. The record is from RNAcentral.
GACGAACGCUGGCGGCGUGCUUAACACAUGCAAGUCGAGCGGUAAGGCCCCUUCGGGGGUACACGAGCGGCGAACGGGUGAGUAACACGUGGGUGACCUGCCCUCAGCUCUGGGAUAAGCCUGGGAAACUGGGUCUAAUACCGGAUAUGACUCCAUGACGCAUGUCGUGGAGUGGAAAGCCUUGUGCGGCUGGGGAUGGGCCCGCGGCCUAUCAGCUUGUUGGUGGGGUGAUGGCCUACCAAGGCGACGACGGGUAGCCGGCCUGAGAGGGCGACCGGCCACACUGGGACUGAGACACGGCCCAGACUCCUACGGGAGGCAGCAGUGGGGAAUCUUGCGCAAUGGGCGAAAGCCUGACGCAGCGACGCCGCGUGAGGGAUGACGGCCU